RNAcentral lists this ribosomal RNA (253 nucleotides) under uncultured bacterium. RNAcentral describes it as "partial 16S ribosomal RNA". It matches the Rfam family "Bacterial small subunit ribosomal RNA", at positions 524 to 776 of the family's 1533-position model. The record is from RNAcentral.
UACGGAGGAUGCAAGCGUUAUCCGGAAUGAUUGGGCGUAAAGCGUCCGCAGGUGGCUAUGUAAGUCUGCUGUUAAAGAGUGAGGCUCAACCUCAUAAGAGCAGUGGAAACUACAUAGCUAGAGUACGUUCGGGGCAGAGGGAAUUCCUGGUGUAGCGGUGAAAUGCGUAGAGAUCAGGAAGAACACCAGUGGCGAAGGCGCUCUGCUAGGCCGUAACUGACACUGAGGGACGAAAGCUAGGGGAGCGAAUGGG